Potamilus streckersoni is the source of this 77-nucleotide non-coding RNA. The record is from the annotation of a GenBank genome assembly. Lineage: Eukaryota; Metazoa; Mollusca; Bivalvia; Unionida; Unionidae.
GACCACUCUGGUGGCCUAGUGGUUAGAGCGUCUGCUCCAGAUGCAAGAGGUUGUGGGUUCAAACCCUGGCCAAGUUA